GCUCAAUUUUGAAAUCUCACUGGUCUCCAGUGCGAAUUGUAGUUUCUAGAAACGUUUUCGGGGCCAGCCCGGGUACAAGUCCGUUGGAAUGCGGCAUCAGAGAGGGUGAGAAUCCCGUCUUUGACCCAGUGUCUGGUCCUGUGUGAUACGUUUUCAAAGAGUCGGAUAGUUUGGGAUUGCUGUCCAAAAUGGGUGGUAAAUACCAUCUAAAGCUAAAUAAUGGCGAGAGACCGAUAGCGAACAAGUACCGUGAGGGAAAGAUGAAAAGAACUUUGAAAAGAGAGUUAAACAGUACGUGAAAUUGUCAAAAGGGAAGCGCUUGAAACCAGUAUUGGGUUUAGGAAAUCAGCCGUCCUCUGGGCGGUGCACUUUCCUAGGCCCGGGUCAGCAUCGGUUUGGACCGAGGUAAAAAGCCCGGGGAAGGUAGCCUUUGGUGUUAUAGCCCCGAGUAAUGCCUUGGUCUGGACCGAGGAUUGCAGCCGAUUUUGGGUGACCCGUCGCUCCUGGAAACGCGGACCUGGACAACUUGUUGAUCAGGCUCGUUGCUAAAGGACACGGCGGUUAGCCACACCACGGCUUGGGAUGCUGACGAAAUGGUUUUAAACGACCCGUCUUGAAACACGGACCAAGGAGUCCAACACACACGCGAGUGUUUGGGUGGCAAACCCGAGCGCGUAAUGAAAGUGAAUGUAGGUGGGAUGCUUCGGCUGCACCAUCGACCGGUCUGGAUUUUUUUGAAAGAUCUGAGUAAGAGCGUGUUUGUUGGGACCCGAAAGAUGGUGAACUAUGCCUGAAUAGGGUGAAGCCAGAGG
RNAcentral lists this ribosomal RNA (812 nucleotides) under Rhizophydium sp. JEL348. Its description in RNAcentral is "eukaryotic LSU rRNA". It matches the Rfam family "Eukaryotic large subunit ribosomal RNA", at positions 107 to 858 of the family's 3401-position model. The record is from RNAcentral. Lineage: Eukaryota; Fungi; Chytridiomycota; Chytridiomycetes; Rhizophydiales; Rhizophydiaceae.